UUACUAUUAAUGUUUCACCUUAGAUAAAGGCUGCAGAUCCAGGGGUUCAUGCACAGGGUGCUCCUGUGUCUAUGUUACCUUCUGGAACCACACUCUGGUAAUGUUCACAUUCUCUCAUCUACAUUAGACCAAUCAGUACUCAUUCUUGUAUCUCUUUACCUUUCUCCGAGAUAAUGGCUGCCCACAUGUCUGGCCUGGCAGUGAUGGAUGGUCAACUCUCACUUAUUCCUGUUACCCACAACCGACCUGCUCAUCUGUCCAGCAGAUGUAACAGACUGGCAGUAACUGCAGUAGCCACUUCAACAUGACGGAAGUAAAAAAUGUAUACAUAUUAUUUUCAAGAAUAAAAGUGGAUGAAGCAUGAUUGAUCGUGUACGU
RNAcentral lists this long non-coding RNA (378 nucleotides) under Astyanax mexicanus (Mexican tetra). RNAcentral's name for it is "lncRNA (ENSAMXG00005013183.1)". Lineage: Eukaryota; Metazoa; Chordata; Actinopteri; Characiformes; Acestrorhamphidae. The record is from RNAcentral.